UAUUAUGAGAGUUUGAUCCUGGCUCAGGACGAACGCUGGCGGCGUGCCUAAUACAUGCAAGUCGAACGCCUCUUUUCCCACCGGAGCUUGCUCCACCGGGAAAAGAGGAGUGGCGAACGGGUGAGUAACACGUGGGUAACCUGCCCAUCAGAAGGGGAUAACACUUGGAAACAGGUGCUAAUACCGUAUAACAAUCGAAACCGCAUGGUUUCGUUUUGAAAGGCGCUUUACGGUGCCGCUGAUGGAUGGACCCGCGGUGCAUUAGCUAGUUGGUGAGGUAACGGCUCACCAAGGCCACGAUGCAUAGCCGACCUGAGAGGGUGAUCGGCCACAUUGGGACUGAGACACGGCCCAAACUCCUACGGGAGGCAGCAGUAGGGAAUCUUCGGCAAUGGACGAAAGUCUGACCGAGCAACGCCGCGUGAGUGAAGAAGGUUUUCGGAUCGUAAAACUCUGUUGUUAGAGAAGAACAAGGGUGAGAGUAACUGUUCACCCCUUGACGGUAUCUAACCAGAAAGCCACGGCUAACUACGUGCCAGCAGCCGCGGUAAUACGUAGGUGGCAAGCGUUGUCCGGAUUUAUUGGGCGUAAAGCGAGCGCAGGCGGUUUCUUAAGUCUGAUGUGAAAGCCCCCGGCUCAACCGGGGAGGGUCAUUGGAAACUGGGAGACUUGAGUGCAGAAGAGGAGAGUGGAAUUCCAUGUGUAGCGGUGAAAUGCGUAGAUAUAUGGAGGAACACCAGUGGCGAAGGCGGCUCUCUGGUCUGUAACUGACGCUGAGGCUCGAAAGCGUGGGGAGCAAACAGGAUUAGAUACCCUGGUAGUCCACGCCGUAAACGAUGAGUGCUAAGUGUUGGAGGGUUUCCGCCCUUCAGUGCUGCAGCUAACGCAUUAAGCACUCCGCCUGGGGAGUACGACCGCAAGGUUGAAACUCAAAGGAAUUGACGGGGGCCCGCACAAGCGGUGGAGCAUGUGGUUUAAUUCGAAGCAACGCGAAGAACCUUACCAGGUCUUGACAUCCUUUGACCACUCUAGAGAUAGAGCUUCCCCUUCGGGGGCAAAGUGACAGGUGGUGCAUGGUUGUCGUCAGCUCGUGUCGUGAGAUGUUGGGUUAAGUCCCGCAACGAGCGCAACCCUUAUUGUUAGUUGCCAUCAUUUAGUUGGGCACUCUAGCAAGACUGCCGGUGACAAACCGGAGGAAGGUGGGGAUGACGUCAAAUCAUCAUGCCCCUUAUGACCUGGGCUACACACGUGCUACAAUGGGAAGUACAACGAGUCGCGAAGUCGCGAGGCUAAGCUAAUCUCUUAAAGCUUCUCUCAGUUCGGAUUGUAGGCUGCAACUCGCCUACAUGAAGCCGGAAUCGCUAGUAAUCGCGGAUCAGCACGCCGCGGUGAAUACGUUCCCGGGCCUUGUACACACCGCCCGUCACACCACGAGAGUUUGUAACACCCGAAGUCGGUGAGGUAACCUUUUUGGAGCCAGCCGCCUAAGGUGGGAUAGAUGAUUGGGGUGAAGUCGUAACAAGGUAGCCGUAUCGGAAGGUGCGGCUGGAUCACCUCCUUU
This is a non-coding RNA of Enterococcus mundtii, 1561 nucleotides long. NCBI's taxonomy places the organism in Bacteria, Bacillati, Bacillota, Bacilli, Lactobacillales, Enterococcaceae. The record is from Rfam.